GAAGUAAGAGGAUCUGUACAGUUGGAAGGGACUUCUCUUUGGGAAGCUCACCAGAGAGGCUGACCUGAACAGAUCUCUGAGCAGGCACAAUCCUCCUGUGACUUCUGACCCAGCAUCCAGUGAAAACAGCAGGAAGCAGAAGGAAGCCGCACAAGACCAAGGGCUAUUUUUCUAUUUCAUAAAUUGUUAUGGUAAUUAACUCAUUGCCACAUGGCCAGUCUGCAGGAAAAUGGCUGGCUCAAAAAAGGACAUGGCUGCUCCAAAAGAGCCAGAGGCAAGAGCAUCCCUGAGGGCAGCUGCCUUGGACAUCAAAAAACGAAGCCAAGUCAGAUGGGUAACAGCACCUUCUGGAUGAAUCCAAGCAGGAGGAUCUCUCAAGUAUAGUAAAACUAUGUGUUAAGGUAUUGAACUUUGGAGAGGACAUAGACAACUAGUAGCACAGGAUGGGUUAGCAUCCUAGGACAGCAAGAUGAGGUGGCUAUGAUUUAAAUGUCUGGGGGAAAUUUCCAAAACUAUGAGAUCACUGAUGCAUGUGAUUUAAGGUGGCUUAUUGCAGUGACUCAGAUAUGCCAUAAAUUACAUUAUCUACCCCCAAUCAAGUCUAAUUCACAAAAACUAGAUUGAUGUUAAGUAAUAUGGUUAGUUUGUCCCUUGUAAAGCAGUCACACUAUUAUAUUAUCUUACAAGGCAAAUGAUAUAAUAAAGUUAAAGGAUUAAAGGAAUGUAAA
This is a non-coding RNA of Monodelphis domestica (gray short-tailed opossum), 728 nucleotides long. The record is from RefSeq and is a predicted model, not a curated record. NCBI's taxonomy places the organism in Eukaryota, Metazoa, Chordata, Mammalia, Didelphimorphia, Didelphidae.